This 468-nucleotide ribosomal RNA is filed under the name uncultured bacterium. RNAcentral describes it as "partial 16S ribosomal RNA". It matches the Rfam family "Bacterial small subunit ribosomal RNA", at positions 28 to 507 of the family's 1533-position model. The record is from RNAcentral.
GACGAACGCUGGCGGCGUGCUUAACACAUGCAAGUCGAACGGAAAGGCCCUGCUUUUGUUGGUUUCUCGUGUGGCGAACGGGUGUGUAACACGUGAGUAACCUGCCCUUGACUUUGGGAUAACUUCAGGAAACUGGGGCUAUUAUAGGAUAGGAGCUCCUGCUGCAUGGUGGUGGUUGGAAAGUUUCGGCUGUUGGGGAUGGUCUCGCGGCUUAUCCGCUUGUUGGUGGGGUAGUGGCGUACCAAGGCUUUGACGGGUAGCCGGCAUGAGAGGGUGAACGGCGACAAUGGGACUGAGAGACGGCGCAGACUGCUAUGGGAGGCAACAGGGGGGAAUAUGGCACAAUGGGCGGGAGCCUGAGGCAGCAACGCCGCGUGCGGGAUGACGGGCUUCGGGUUGUAAACCGCUUUGGCCUGUGACAAAGCGUGAGUGACGGUAAUGGGUAAGGAAGCACCGGCUAACUACGUG